This 1201-nucleotide ribosomal RNA is filed under the name uncultured bacterium. RNAcentral's name for it is "bacterial SSU rRNA". It matches the Rfam family "Bacterial small subunit ribosomal RNA", at positions 237 to 1533 of the family's 1533-position model. The record is from RNAcentral.
UUUAUCUUUUUUUAGGGCGGGUAACGAGCCCCCCCAAAGGGCAAAGCUGGUAUAAGGGGAAUUUGAAAGGUUUUUUUCCCCCCCCACUGGUUACUGAAUAACGGAACCCAAAAUUCUAUGGGGAAGGCCGCCUUGAGGAAAUAUGGGUCAACAGACGAAAGUUUGAACCACCCACUUGGGCUGAAGAAAGACGGCCCUAGGGUUGGAAACUUUUUUUAUACGGGAAUAAAGUGCCCAAGGGUGGGGGUUUGCAAGUACCGUACGAAUAAGGAUCGGCUAACUCCGUGCCAGCAGCCGCGGUAAUACGGAGGAUCCGAGCGUUAUCCGGAUUUAUUGGGUUUAAAGGGUGCUCAGGCGGGGGAUUAAGUCGGCGGUGAAAUUUUGCAGCUCAACUGUAAAAGUGCCUUCGAAACUGGUUUCCUUGAGUGCGGAUGAGGUAGGCGGAAUUUGUGGUGUAGCGGUGAAAUGCAUAGAUAUCACGAGGAACUCCGAUUGCGCAGGCAGCUUACCAAGCCGUAACUGACGCUCAAGCACGAAGGCGUGGGGAUCAAACAGGAUUAGAUACCCUGGUAGUCCACGCAGUAAACGAUGAUUACUGGCUGUUUGCGAUAUAAUGUAAGCGGCUGAGCGAAAGCGUUAAGUAAUCCACCUGGGGAGUACGUUCGCAAGAAUGAAACUCAAAGGAAUUGACGGGGGCCCGCACAAGCGGAGGAACAUGUGGUUUAAUUCGAUGAUACGCGAGGAACCUUACCCGGGCUUGAAAUGCAUCUGGUGUCCCGAGAGAUCGGGAUUUCCCACGGGACAGAUGCGUAGGUGCUGCAUGGUUGUCGUCAGCUCGUGCCGUGAGGUGUCGGCUUAAGUGCCAUAACGAGCGCAACCCCUACCGUUAGUUGCCAUCAGGUCAAGCUGGGGACUCUAACGGGACUGCCAUCGUAAGGUGCGAGGAAGGUGGGGAUGACGUCAAAUCAGCACGGCCCUUACGUCCGGGGCGACACACGUGUUACAAUGGGUGGUACAAAGGGCAGCUACAUGGCGACAUGGUGCCAAUCUCCAAAACCACUCUCAGUUCGGAUCGGAGUCUGCAACUCGACUCCGUGAAGCUGGAUUCGCUAGUAAACGGGCAUCAGCCACGGCGCGGUGAAUACGAUCCCGGGCCUUGUACACACCGCCCUAAGGGCGAAUACGCGCCCGCCUUCCCGCC